CUGUUUGACAUGAAACAAUAAUUCUCAUCACUCUCUCUCAAACCUGCAGACUUUUAAUUUUUGUUUUUCUUUAAUCUUGCAGAUGAAGAGAGAGAAAAUGUAGUUACAUUGAGGCUUCCAUAAUGUCAAGUCUGUCAGUGAGAUCUGAUCCCAUGUCUGUCUCCACAAAGUUAGCAUGAGGCCUUCUUAAUUAGAAAAUCAUUUUUAAAACUCAGUGAAUAAGUAAUAAUAAUACAGUUGAUAAAGAUGACCUCUCUUUGCUAACUACCUGCUGCUGUCAGGUUCACGUCCAAAAAUGGGAAAAUUCAGUGACUGCUGUCAAAAGGUAGAGAAAUGAAACAGAUUGUGUAAUAAUAUUAGACCUGUACAUAAUUAAACAUUCAUAUAAUUACAUAUUUUGAUGACUGCAUGGCGUUUUGACAUUAACAGUCUUAUCUGAGUAUCAAAC
Molecule: long non-coding RNA, 448 nt
Organism: Sebastes umbrosus (honeycomb rockfish)
Lineage: Eukaryota; Metazoa; Chordata; Actinopteri; Perciformes; Sebastidae
Exons: 2
Source: RefSeq, a predicted model, not a curated record